ACUGAAUAAAAUCAUAACUAAUUUCUAGAAUUGACAAACAAUAUAAUUCUUGAAAAUUUAUCAUUAGGGACAAUUAGCAAAACACUCUUGGGAAGAAGCAUAGCAUUUGUCCUUUUCACCAGUGCAACACCAUUUGGGUGCAACUCCUAGAUCAACAAGUGGGAUGCAUGUAUGGGCUGCAAGUUUUCCUUUAACUCUUAUACUUUCAUCACCUGCAUAUUAAUAAAAAAUAAAACACAUCAAUUAGUGUGAAAGAAAAAACUUUAUACUAUCAAAUAUUUAAAAGAUAACAACGUGUAAUCAUGCAUAAAAAAUGAAACGCAUAACCUAAAAAAUAAGGUAGGUUUACUUGUUUCAACAAUUUUAAAUAUAAUGAUAGUGUUUAAAAAAAAAUUUCACUUCAGUCAUAUUGUUUCAAUCACUACUAAGAAACUUUCUGAUAGAAAUAUCGUUCAAAAUUCUCAUCAUUGGAAACAUUUUCGAUGAAUUUUUCACUGAAAAUCUCAAAUUUUUGUUGGAAAUAUUUGUCCAAAUGUAUACCAAUCUAUAAUUUUGUGCAUUUAAAAAUGAAAAGAUUUUUGUGUUGUUCUAUUACUUUGUUGCUUAUAGUGGUAGUUUAAAUGAUCAAAUAAAACUAAUAAGUAUAAAAAAGAGUAAAUAUGGACGUACAAUGGUGAAGAGCCAACAAAGAAAGUAAAAUCAAACAAAGCAUCCAAAUUGAUUGAAGCGAGAAUUUUGUGGUGGCCAUUAAAGAAUAUGUUAUCAGUGCUCAAAAG
This 776-nucleotide long non-coding RNA is filed under the name Capsicum annuum. Its description in RNAcentral is "long non-coding RNA (CANN_LNC005744)". Lineage: Eukaryota; Viridiplantae; Streptophyta; Magnoliopsida; Solanales; Solanaceae. The record is from RNAcentral.